Molecule: ribosomal RNA, 428 nt
Filed under: uncultured bacterium
Lineage: Bacteria
Description: bacterial SSU rRNA
Rfam family: Bacterial small subunit ribosomal RNA
Source: RNAcentral
UCGAGAAUCUUUAGCAAUGGGCGAAAGCCUGACUAUGCGACACCGCGUGAGGGACGAAGGUCUUCGGAUCGUAAACCUCUUUCGGCAGGGAAGAAACUACUUGACAAAAUAUGUCAAGAACUGACGGUACCUGCAGAAGAAGCAACGGCCAACUCCGUGCCAGCAGCCGCGGUAAUACGGAGGUUGCAAGCGUUACUCGGAUUCAUUGGGUGUAAAGGGCAGGUAGGUGGCCUGACAAGUGAGAGGUGAAAUCCCGCUACUCAAUAGCGGAACUGCCUUUCAAACUAUCGGGCUUGAGGUUGGGAGAAGAGAAUGGAAUUCCCGGUGUAAGGGUGAAAUCUGUAGAUAUCGGGAAGAACACCAGUGGCGAAAGCGAUUCUCUAGUCCAAUCCUGACACUGAUCUGCGAAAGCUAGGGGAGCAAACAGG